Molecule: ribosomal RNA, 506 nt
Filed under: uncultured bacterium
Lineage: Bacteria
Description: partial 16S ribosomal RNA
Rfam family: Bacterial small subunit ribosomal RNA
Source: RNAcentral
AUUGAACGCUGGCGGCAGGCCUAACACAUGCAAGUCGAACGGCAGCACAGAAGAGCUUGCUCUCUGGGUGGCGAGUGGCGGACGGGUGAGUAAUGUCUGGGAAACUGCCCGAUGGAGGGGGAUAACUACUGGAAACGGUAGCUAAUACCGCAUAACGUCGCAAGACCAAAGUGGGGGACCUUCGGGCCUCACACCAUCGGAUGUGCCCAGAUGGGAUUAGCUAGUAGGUGGGGUAAUGGCUCACCUAGGCGACGAUCCCUAGCUGGUCUGAGAGGAUGACCAGCCACACUGGAACUGAGACACGGUCCAGACUCCUACGGGAGGCAGCAGUGGGGAAUAUUGCACAAUGGGCGCAAGCCUGAUGCAGCCAUGCCGCGUGUAUGAAGAAGGCCUUCGGGUUGUAAAGUACUUUCAGCGGGGAGGAAGGCGGUGAGGUUAAUAACCUUGCCGAUUGACGUUACCCGCAGAAGAAGCACCGGCUAACUCCGUGCCAGCCGCCGCAGUAA